Molecule: ribosomal RNA, 304 nt
Filed under: uncultured soil bacterium
Lineage: Bacteria
Description: bacterial SSU rRNA
Rfam family: Bacterial small subunit ribosomal RNA
Source: RNAcentral
AGAGUGAACGCUGGUGGCAGGCCUAACACAUGCAAGUCGAACGGCAGCACAGGAGAGCUUGCUCUCUGGGUGGCGAGUGGCGGACGGGUGAGGAAUACAUCGGGAUCUGCCUUAUCGUGGGGGAUAACGUAGGGAAACUUACGCUAAUACCGCAUACGACCUACGGGUGAAAGCGGAGGACCUUCGGGCUUCGCGCGAUAAGAUGAGCCGAUGUCGGAUUAGCUAGUUGGCGGGUAAAGCCCACAAGGCGACGAUCCGUAGCUGGUCUGAGAGGAUGAUCAGCCACACUGGGACUGAGACACGG